ACUCAGUGAAAUUGAACUCGCUGUGAAGAUGCAGUGUACCCGCGGCAAGACGGAAAGACCCCGUGAACCUUUACUAUAGCUUGACACUGAACAUUGAGCCUUGAUGUGUAGGAUAGGUGGGAGGCUUUGAAGCGUGGACGCCAGUCUGCGUGGAGCCAUCCUUGAAAUACCACCCUUUAAUGUUUGAUGUUCUAACUCGGCCCCAUAAUCUGGGGUGAGGACAGUGUCUGGUGGGUAGUUUGACUGGGGCGGUCUCCUCCCAAAGAGUAACGGAGGAGCACGAAGGUUAGCUAAUCACGGUCGGACAUCGUGAGGUUAGUGCAAAGGCAUAAGCUAGCUUGACUGCGAGAGUGACGGCUCGAGCAGGUACGAAAGUAGGUCUUAGUGAUCCGGUGGUUCUGAAUGGAAGGGCCAUCGCUCAACGGAUAAAAGGUACUCCGGGGAUAACAGGCUGAUACCGCCCAAGAGUUCAUAUCGACGGCGGUGUUUGGCACCUCGAUGUCGGCUCAUCACAUCCUGGGGCUGAAGUAGGUCCCAAGGGUAUGGCUGUUCGCCAUUUAAAGAGGUACGUGAGCUGGGUUUAAAACGUCGUGAGACAGUUUGGUCCCUAUCUGCCGUGGGCGUUGGAUACUUG
Molecule: ribosomal RNA, 634 nt
Organism: Knoellia aerolata DSM 18566
Lineage: Bacteria; Bacillati; Actinomycetota; Actinomycetes; Micrococcales; Intrasporangiaceae
Rfam family: Bacterial large subunit ribosomal RNA
Source: Rfam